GAUGAACGCUGGCGGCGUGCCUAAUACAUGCAAGUCGAGCGAACAGAUGAGGAGCUUGCUCCUCUGACGUUAGCGGCGGACGGGUGAGUAACACGUGGAUAACCUACCUAUAAGACUGGGAUAACUUCGGGAAACCGGAGCUAAUACCGGAUAAUAUAUUGAACCGCAUGGUUCAAUAGUGAAAGACGGUUUUGCUGUCACUUAUAGAUGGAUCCGCGCCGCAUUAGCUAGUUGGUAAGGUAACGGCUUACCAAGGCAACGAUGCGUAGCCGACCUGAGAGAGUGAUCGGCCACACUGGAACUGAGCCACGGUCCAGACUCCUACGGGAGGCAGCAGUAGGGAAUCUUCCGCAAUGGGCGAAAGCCUGACGGAGCAACGCCGCGUGAGUGAUGAAGGUCUUCGGAUCGUAAAACUCUGUUAUUAGGGAAGAACAAAUGUGUAAGUAACUAUGCACGUCUUGACGGUACCUAAUCAGAAAGCCACGGCUAACUACGUG
RNAcentral lists this ribosomal RNA (497 nucleotides) under uncultured bacterium. Its description in RNAcentral is "partial 16S ribosomal RNA". It matches the Rfam family "Bacterial small subunit ribosomal RNA", at positions 28 to 507 of the family's 1533-position model. The record is from RNAcentral.